RNAcentral lists this ribosomal RNA (440 nucleotides) under uncultured Bacillota bacterium. RNAcentral describes it as "bacterial SSU rRNA". It matches the Rfam family "Bacterial small subunit ribosomal RNA", at positions 338 to 795 of the family's 1533-position model. The record is from RNAcentral. Lineage: Bacteria; Bacillati; Bacillota.
CCUACGGGGGGCUGCAGUAGGGAAUUUUCCGCAAUGGGCGAAAGCCUGACGGAGCAACGCCGCGUGAGGGAAGAAGGUCUUCGGAUCGUAAACCUUUGUCAUCGAGGACGAUAAUGACGGUACUCGAGGAGGAAGCCCCGGCUAACUACGUGCCAGCAGCCGCGGUAACACGUAGGGGGCGAGCGUUGUCCGGAAUUACUGGGCGUAAAGGGCGCGUAGGCGGCCUAAUAAGUCAGAUGUGAAACCCCCGGGCUUAACCCUGGGCUUGCAUUUGAAACUGUUGGGCUUGAGGACAGGAGAGGAAAGCGGAAUUCCCAGUGUAGCGGUGAAAUGCGUAGAUAUUGGGAGGAACACCAGUGGCGAAGGCGGCUUUCUGGACUGUAACUGACGCUGAGGCGCGAAAGCCAGGGUAGCGAACGGGAUUAGAUACCCCAGUAGUC